This 831-nucleotide ribosomal RNA is filed under the name uncultured marine bacterium. Its description in RNAcentral is "bacterial SSU rRNA". It matches the Rfam family "Bacterial small subunit ribosomal RNA", at positions 60 to 890 of the family's 1533-position model. The record is from RNAcentral.
AGUCGAGGGGUACAUAGAGUGCUUGCACUCUGAUGACGACCGGCGCACGGGUGAGUAACGCGUAUACAAUCUGCCUCAUACUAGGGCAUAGCCCAGAGAAAUUUGGAUUAACACCCUAUAGUAUCUUUUAGAGUCAUCUCUUUAAGAUUAAAGGUUACGGUAUGAGAUGAGUAUGCGUUCUAUUAGUUAGUAGGUGAGGUAACGGCUCACCUAGACCACGAUAGAUAGGGGCCCUGAGAGGGGGAUCCCCCACACUGGUACUGAGACACGGACCAGACUCCUACGGGAGGCAGCAGUGAGGAAUAUUAGACAAUGGGCGAAAGCCUGAUCUAGCCAUGCCGCGUGCAGGAUGACGGCCCUAUGGGUUGUAAACUGCUUUUAUACAGGAAGAAAAAACUCUACGUGUAGAGUCUUGACGGUACUGUAAGAAUAAGGAUCGGCUAACUCCGUGCCAGCAGCCGCGGUAAUACGGAGGAUCCAAGCGUUAUCCGGAAUUAUUGGGUUUAAAGGGUCCGUAGGUGGACAAUUAAGUCAGAGGUGAAAUCCUGCAGCUCAACUGUAGAAUUGCCUUUGAAACUGGUUUUCUUGAGUCAUUAUGAAGUGGUUAGAAUGUGUAGUGUAGCGGUGAAAUGCAUAGAUAUUACACAGAAUACCAAUUGCGAAGGCAGAUCACUAAUAAUGUACUGACACUGAGGGACGAAAGCGUGGGUAGCGAACAGGAUUAGAUACCCUGGUAGUCCACGCCGUAAACGAUGGUCACUAGCUGUUCGGACUUCGGUCUGAGUGGCUAAGCGAAAGUGAUAAGUGACCCACCUGGGGAGUACGUUCGCA